CUGAUGUCCAGAAGAGGGGGCGGUGCCAGCCGCCAUAUUGGGACUCCCUUUUCGAGGGGUUAGAAAAUGGCAGCCGGUGUUUCUCAUCAAAUCAGCUGAACAGCCAGGUCCUGGAAGGUAAGUAACACAGCCAGGUCCUGGAAGGUAAGUAAUACAGCAACACAGCCAGGUCCUGGAAGGUAAGUAAUACAGCAACACAGCCAGGUCCUGGAAGGUAAGUAAUACAGCAACACAGCCAGGUCCUGGAAGGUAGUAGCACAGCAACACAGCCAGGUCCUGGAAGGUAAGUAACACA
Molecule: non-coding RNA, 295 nt
Organism: Pelobates cultripes (western spadefoot toad)
Lineage: Eukaryota; Metazoa; Chordata; Amphibia; Anura; Pelobatidae
Source: the annotation of a GenBank genome assembly